RNAcentral lists this ribosomal RNA (467 nucleotides) under uncultured Acidovorax sp. Its description in RNAcentral is "bacterial SSU rRNA". It matches the Rfam family "Bacterial small subunit ribosomal RNA", at positions 917 to 1381 of the family's 1533-position model. Lineage: Bacteria; Pseudomonadati; Pseudomonadota; Betaproteobacteria; Burkholderiales; Comamonadaceae. The record is from RNAcentral.
UUGACGGGACCGCACAAGCGGUGGAUGAUGUGGUUAAUUCGAUGCAACGCGAAAACCUUACCACCUUUGACAUGUACGGAAUCCUUUAGAGAUAGAGGAGUGCUCGAAAGAGAGCCGUAACACAGGUGCUGCAUGGCUGUCGUCAGCUCGUGUCGUGAGAUGUUGGGUUAAGUCCCGCAACGAGCGCAACCCUUGUCAUUAGUUGCUACAUUCAGUUGGGCACUCUAAUGAGACUGCCGGUGACAAACCGGAGGAAGGUGGGGAUGACGUCAAGUCCUCAUGGCCCUUAUAGGUGGGGCUACACACGUCAUACAAUGGAUGGUACAAAGGGUCGCCAACCCGCGAGGGGGAGCCAAUCCCAUAAAGCCAUUCGUAGUCCGGAUCGCAGUCUGCAACUCGACUGCGUGAAGUCGGAAUCGCUAGUAAUCGCGGAUCAGCACGCCGCGGUAAAUACGUUCCCGGGCCUU